This 487-nucleotide ribosomal RNA is filed under the name uncultured bacterium. Its description in RNAcentral is "bacterial SSU rRNA". It matches the Rfam family "Bacterial small subunit ribosomal RNA", at positions 30 to 509 of the family's 1533-position model. The record is from RNAcentral.
AUUGAACGCUGGCGGCAUGCCUUACACAUGCAAGUCGAACGGUAACAGGUCUUCGGAUGCUGACGAGUGGCGAACGGGUGAGUAAUACAUCGGAACGUGCCCGAUCGUGGGGGAUAACGAAGCGAAAGCUUUGCUAAUACCGCAUAAGAUCUACGGAUGAAAGCAGGGGACCGCAAGGCCUUGCGCGAACGGAGCGGCCGAUGGCAGAUUAGGUAGUUGGUGGGAUAAAAGCUUACCAAGCCGACGAUCUGUAGCUGGUCUGAGAGGACGACCAGCCACACUGGGACUGAGACACGGGCCCAGACUCCUACGGGGAGGCAGCAGUGGGGAAUUUUUGGACAAUGGGCGAAAGCCUGAUCCAGCCAUGCCGCGUGCAGGAUGAAGGCCUUCGGGUUGUAAACUGCUUUUGUACGGAACGAAAAGACUCUGGUUAAUACCUGGGGUCCAUGACGGUACCGUAAGAAUAAGCACCGGCUAACUACGUGCC